GGCGACUGCGGCUGCGACUACAUGUGUGUCUACCUGGAUGAGAACCUCAGGGAAAAGCAGUGCAUCUGUGCUGAGAACUGGGUCUUGAACACAGACAAUUACACCUGCAUCUCGAGACAGGCAGCCUCCUGUGGCACACGGCGUAUCCCAUCAUCAUCGGUCUCUUCAUUAUCGUCAUCAUCAUUAUCUCCACGACGUCGAUCUGCUGCUACAACCAUACCCAGCGCAAGAAAUUCGACCUGAUGCGACGCGAGUUCUCCCGAGGACCCGACGACCAGCUGCACACGAUCCGAGCCGAGUCGCGCCGGAUGGUCACCGAGUACAACCCCAAUUACGAGUUUGGAGGUGGAACUUGUACCAUCAAGGACCUGAAGGGGAUCCCCCGGGAGAACCUCACCCUCGUCAAGUUAGUACCUUCCCUUGAUGACUGUCAGCCUCUGAUGCGGUCUAGUCGUCAGUGUGUACCCAAUUCCUGCUGAUUUUUUUUUUUUUUUUAUUGUUUUCCCCCCUCUAAAAAUGGGGUUGUCAGGUUGUCGUUAUGUUUCAUUAAGUGUCAGACGCGAGUGAUGGGGGUUUUAUGGUCUAUCGUUGUUGGUUCCUCGGUGUCUGUCAAUCUAUUCCUGAGUGUCAGGCCUCCGCUUAGUCUGAGGACGAAUAUCUUCACAACACAAGAUGUAUUCAUUCUUCCUCAUCUCUUCACAACAGUUGCAAUAAACACAAUGCA
Penaeus vannamei (Pacific white shrimp) is the source of this 724-nucleotide non-coding RNA. Lineage: Eukaryota; Metazoa; Arthropoda; Malacostraca; Decapoda; Penaeidae. The record is from RefSeq and is a predicted model, not a curated record.